UUGCAUCCAAGAUGCAGGAUUUAAAUAGCUGAAAUAAGAAUUUUGCAUCUCAGUAAUUUUUUAGAUUAAAGUUUAUAUUAAAAAAUAAUUGAUUGACUUGACUUGAGCAGGAUGUGGUGCCUUCUAGGAUGCAAUUGCAACAGUCAGUGUUAUUGAUGAAUACAAGCUUCUGAAGUCAUACCACUAAAAUCUUCAUAACUAUAAAUACAGCGCUAGUACAGAGAGAGAAUGCCUUCCUAAACAUUGUGACUUAUUUGAAAGUGAAAAUAGUUUGGAUAACUAUUAAGAAGAGUACUUUAUUUUUACUGCAGAGAUUGUGUUUGCGCUGGUAAGGGCUUGUCUACAGAGGUUACUUGUACAUAAAGUAACAGGUUUGGCUGUUUGGCUCAAAAGUGGCACAGCUCCCUGAGUAGGUGGCAGAAAUCUCAGGGGGAACCCCAGGAAGAGCACAGUGUCUGUAUUCUCUGGCAGUGACACCUAGAACCUUCUCUGCAGGAUCCAGCAGAGACCUGAGUGAAGACAGAAGGCUUGAGAUAACAGUUGCAGCCAAGAAUGGAGCAAAGCUGAUGAUACCAUGCCCUUCACCUGCCACCAGCACCUUGGCUGUAAAGUGGGCCACCAUAGACCCUUGGGAGGAAGAUGAAACACAGUUAAUGGCAGUCAUAGCGUGAAUAGCUCCUCCUUGGGGUUUUUUAGGCUUUCAGUCCCAUCAGGCCUGUUUGUGUCUGAUACCACACCCUACAAGUGGUGUUCUCUGGACUCACCGUACAUGUGGAGGUGACUCCAUCCCUACCAGUGCAAACCAUGAUGGGUUUCACUGUGCCUCCCCAGCAGCUAGGCUUGGAGCAAGUGCAUAAUCUACCACCAGCAAAAGGCCUUGCUGCAGGUCAUCUGGAAGAGCUCCAUUUGCUGUGAGGGAAAAGAAACAAAGGAAUUAUACUGCCAGCUGGCACUGAAGAAAGAACAAAACCACAUUAACUCAUUUCUCCCAGGAUCUGGAUACUGUCCCUCCAGAUCAAGUUGUGUGCAUUUCAGCAUGCCAUACUUCUUCAAUAAACCAAACUGUAAUCACUUUGAAGUGGAAGAUGUUUCAAGCAAUACAAAAAAACAGCUGUCCAUGAUAAUGGAGAAAUGCUGCUGUAGUGGGCCUAGUCUAAACAGGCUGAAGUAUCUUUCUUGGACUCAGUGGGCAUCCUACUGUUGGCGGUUCUGAGUGAACAUCAAAAGCAUCAGCCUCCAGCUGAUACCAUGGUGGCUUGGAAACAGCACCCUGAAGGUCUUAUCAUCUUCAUGCCAGAUGUUUCACAGAGACUAAGCAGCUCAUGGAACUUCAGUAAGAAAGAGCAGGAACUUCCGGUAUGUUCUGUUAAAGCCUAAUAACUCUUUCAAUACACAGUGUACUUAGUGCACAAUUUAUAAUGUAAUCCAUU
This is a long non-coding RNA of Strigops habroptila (Kakapo), 1430 nucleotides long. RefSeq lists it as uncharacterized. The transcript has 3 exons. NCBI's taxonomy places the organism in Eukaryota, Metazoa, Chordata, Aves, Psittaciformes, Psittacidae. The record is from RefSeq and is a predicted model, not a curated record.